Molecule: non-coding RNA, 30 nt
Filed under: Rattus norvegicus (Norway rat)
Lineage: Eukaryota; Metazoa; Chordata; Mammalia; Rodentia; Muridae
Source: RNAcentral
UAUGUAUGUUAUUUGGUGUUCAGUCUCUGA